GUGGCGCACGGGUGAGUAAUGUAUAGGUAAUAUGCCUCUUACUAAGGGAUAACAAAUGGAAACGUUUGCUAAUACCUUAUACUCCUUAUUAACCUAAGUUAAUAAGGGAAAGAUUUAUUGGCAAGAGAUUAGCCUGUAUUGUAUCAGUUAGUUGGUGGGGUAAUGGCCUACCAAGACUAUGACACAUAACUGGUUUGAGAGGAUGAUCAGUCACACUGGAACUGAGACACGGUCCAGACUCCUACGGGAGGCAGCAGUGGGGAAUAUUGCACAAUGGACGAAAGUCUGAUGCAGCAACGCCGCGUGGAGGAUGACACCUUUCGGUGCGUAAACUCCUUUUAUAUGAGAAGAUGAUGACGGUAUUAUAUGAAUAAGCACCGGCUAACUCCGUGCCAGCAGCCGCGGUAAUACGGGGGGUGCAAGCGUUACUCGGAAUCACUGGGCGUAAAGAGCAUGUAGGCGGAUUAAUAAGUUUGAAGUGAAAUCCUAUA
Molecule: ribosomal RNA, 491 nt
Filed under: uncultured bacterium
Lineage: Bacteria
Description: bacterial SSU rRNA
Rfam family: Bacterial small subunit ribosomal RNA
Source: RNAcentral